Molecule: long non-coding RNA, 3297 nt
Organism: Gadus macrocephalus (Pacific cod)
Lineage: Eukaryota; Metazoa; Chordata; Actinopteri; Gadiformes; Gadidae
Exons: 3
Source: RefSeq, a predicted model, not a curated record
ACCUCAUUGGUUAGGUUCAUAACAUGUAAUGUUCCCACACACGAGGCGGAGGCGGUGUAUAAUCCAUGGUUUAUUCAACCAACUAACUGUGAUCAAUUCAGAACGCUAGGAGUAGUAACCAAUGGUAACUUACAACGGUAACGCCACACAAAAGAACUUAACGAAUCUCAAGAGACCCAAACAUAAAACACAAACAAAGUAUCCUAGCAACGGGUCCAAUUAACACGUGAUGAUAGGGCUAUGAUGUUUGUCCAUGUAUCUACAGUCAAUUAAGAAACGGGAAAGUAAAGUAAUAAGUAGUGAAGUUACUUUUCAAAUGCAGUAACUAAUAAAGUAAUCUCAUUACAAUUUAUAGAAGUAACUAGUAAUAAGUAACUAAUUACUUUUUUGAGUAACUACCCCAACACUGAUAAUAAUAUAAACAAAUAAAAAAAAUCGGAAAUCCCAGUGAAUAGUGAAUGAGCUACUCUAUGAUCGAUUGUGGCGGAUGUAAAUUGAUACACCUUGACAUCGUACGGCUAGUUGUUUACAAAGACUGCUGCGCAGUGCGCACCCCUGUGUGGGGAACAACAUCAAGGAUCCAUCAACAACAUCAGCCUGCAAACCGUAGCCUCUACACAAAGGUAAGAAUGUGGAUCAAUAAUUUGUACUUUGUUCAAGUAUUUCUUUACUGUCUCCCAGCGACAGCUAAAGCAUAGGCUGUCUGAGAGAGAACUUUUGCGGGCUGGCUGUUAGGUUUUUAGCGAGUUAACUAAAGUUUGUUGUCUCAGCUGUAUCAGCUCUCGACCAUCCUGUUGCACUAUUUUAGUGGAAAACUGGACAAACCGUAUGGUUUUACCACUACCAAAGAUCCUUUAUCUAUGGAUGCAUAUAUGUAGCAAAAUUCAAAUGGCAAUGCAAUUUGCAAUUCAAAUGGCAAUGCAUGUAAGUCAUUACAUUAUGCAAUUGACAAUUCAUUAUGCAAUUUAAUAAUAUAAUUUGUAAAUACGUUAUUCAAAGUGUAUUUUAAUAUGCAAAGUGAUAAUGAAAUCCUCAAUAAAAUUUGCAAAAGUUAUAACAAUAAAAAUAUAAUAACAUUUUGUCGCAUUUUUUGAGUUCCAACACACAGAGCGUUAGCCUGGCACCGCCCACCUAUCUACUUCCGCUCAAUUUUCAUUUAAUUUCAGUAGUCAGUCUUGGUCUAAGGUAUAUUCAUGGCUUCCUUCGAAGCCAGAUUUUUGGCGGUCCAAUCAGCGAACAGAGGGAGUGGCUGAGAACGAUGACGUUAAAGUCACCUCUCGUUGACGGACAUCUUCACGCACGGUGUUUGGUUUGUUUACAGCCUGUGCGCAACGUGAUUCCCGGCCAAACGUUAGCGAUUGGUUAUGGCAGAUCCAGAGUGGCACUGGGCAGAUCCAAUAGUUUUAAACUUCAACAGACACCCGCCUUCAAGUGAGUUAACGUUUGUCAGUUGAGUAGGUCCAGCCUCUGAACAUACCCAGGCUUUUUUGGGAAACCUGGCUCGACAGAGACGCAACUCGCAAUCAGAGUUAAAUGGUACCACGACGCUCACUUUAGAUUCAAUUAGUCGAAUCAGGUUUUCCGCUUUAGGUUCAAUGCGCGUUCACAUAAAAGGGGCGUUUAUCGCGUCAUUUGACACACCCUUAUGCAAGAUUAAUCGAGCGAGAGCGGUGUGUUUCACCCAAGGCGAGCAGUGUAUUAUUAUGAAUUCCUACGAGGAAUUCAAAGUCCAAAUCACAGCCAAGGGGAACACGGUUGCGCAUAAUAAGGCUAGGGUGGCGUGCUGGCAAAAAAUAGCCGGCUGUGUUAAUUCGUAAGUGAAAAGAUUCUGCAUAUUAUCUAGAAAAAUAUCAUGUAUCAUCAUGCCUUUUACCCCCAUAGAUGUGGUGCCAGCACGCUCCUAUGAACAUGGGGCCAAGUCAAAAAUAAAUAUAAAAAUAUUAUUCAAUGUGCAAAUAAAAAGAAAACCCAAAUUAAUACGACUGGGAGGGGGACCGCUCCACCGCCCUUCACCACUUCGGAGGAGCUGGCUCUCGCCAAUAACGAAGGUCGGCCGAUGAUGGUAGGAGUGGAAGGGGGGAUGUCCUCUGACCCCACUGCCUCGACAUCCAAGGCGUUUGUAAUGAGUAUUCAUGUAUUGGCAAUGGACAUAAAUAAUUGUCUUGCUAAUCAAAUGUGAAAUGAUUGAGUGUAAAUUAAUUGUGUCAUUUUUAGUUGAAGGUAAACAUUAUUUUGGAGGAGCCGCCCACAAUCAAUCUCCAGAGGUAUAUAACUAUAAAAGCAAAGUGUCACGUAUUCUUCUAAAUGUUGAAUUUUUAGAAAGAAUGUCCUAUAAUAGGUUUCCCUGAUUCUUUCAGGAGACUCUGUCGGCCUGUGACUCCAGGGCGACUAUGGAGAGGGAAAUGACAUUGGAUGGGCCAUCCACCUCCACCUCAACCUCCUCAAGGCCUUCUCGAGGGACAGACAAGGUUUUUAUUUAGGUUAUUCCUUUUGUAAUGGGCGCCACAAGGCUUUGACCAUGGUAACUGAAUUAAUUAAUUAUUUAUUGAACAAAAGUCACAAUGAAGUUAAAUGAGAUUAUCAAAUGGACACAUUAUCAUUCAUACCAAAUGUAGCCUACCUACUACUUAAAGGUCCCAUGACAUGCUAUUUUAUGUAUUCUUUAAUAUAGGUAUUAGUGGGCAACUAACACAGUAUUCAAAGACGUUCCCGAAAUUCAGCCAUGGUGCAGAGUUACAGCCACUCCGAGCCAGUCGCACAUUGAGCUUCCCCCAAAUGCGCUGUUUUGGUGUCUGUAGCGAUAAUGCAAAUGAGGAGGAGCGAGGCGGGUCAAGGAGGAGGGUGGGGGUGUGGCCCUGAGCAGCUUGCAGCCACGGUACCAUGCGCUCUGUUUACAGUGGAUGUAUUGCGAUGGCGAGGUGCACACAGCCAUUAGCCGUGUUCUGUAAAUAUUCUAGAACACACAGAGCUCUAUAUCUAAAUAUUAUCAUAUAGCCUACAUAGAUAUCUAUAUCAUAUAAUAUAUAUUAUCACGGCAAAAGCUGUGUGAGCCGAUAUUAUGAAUCUCAAACGACCGUGUUGGGUUCUCCAACGUUCCUGGUUCUUCAACGUCCACAACAAUGUGAAGUAGACUGAACUGCGACAAGGAGGAGAAAGGGAUUGUUGCCGGGCAGCGUUUAGGCACCUCCGCCUCCGGCGGUGGUCCCUCAGCGGGGCUCAAGCGGGAGACAUUCGCCGCCAACAAUCCCUUUCUCCUCCAUGUCGUGGUUCAUGUUCUUGAGGGAGUCAAAGCCAAAG